CCUACGGGUGGCAGCAGUGAGGAAUAUUGCACAAUGGGGGAAACCCUGAUGCAGCGACGCCGCGUGCGUGAUGACGUAUUUCGGUAUGUAAAGCUCUAUCUGCAGGGAAGUAAAUGACGGUACCUGAUUAAGAUGCCACGGCUAACUUCGUGCCAGCAGCCGCGGUAAUACGGAGGGGGCAAGCGUUAUCCGGAUUUACUGGGUGUAAAGGGGGCGUAGACGGCAGCACAAGUAUGGAGUGAAAUGCCGGGGCUUAACCCCGGAACUGCGGUGGAAACUGGGCAGCUAGAGUGCAGGGGAGGUAAGUGGAAUUCGUAGUGUAGCGGUGAAAUGCGUAGAUAUGAGGAGGAACACCAGUGGCGAAGGCGGCUUACUGGACUGGAACUGACGUUGAGGCUCGAAAGCGUGGGGAUCGAACAGGAUUAGAUACCCCGGUAGUC
RNAcentral lists this ribosomal RNA (440 nucleotides) under uncultured bacterium. RNAcentral describes it as "partial 16S ribosomal RNA". It matches the Rfam family "Bacterial small subunit ribosomal RNA", at positions 338 to 795 of the family's 1533-position model. The record is from RNAcentral.